This 318-nucleotide long non-coding RNA is filed under the name Panax ginseng (ginseng). RNAcentral describes it as "long non-coding RNA (PGIN_LNC017642)". The record is from RNAcentral. Lineage: Eukaryota; Viridiplantae; Streptophyta; Magnoliopsida; Apiales; Araliaceae.
GAUCCUCGGGUGUACCCGAUGGCGAAAAGGCUAAAGGGACAUACAAGGGCGGUAGUAUUUCACAGUUGCAGCAUAUCACUGUCAGGGUACGUAUUUAAUUACAAGUUUUAAUAUGUUUACAAUUAUGAAUUGUAGAAAAUAUAUCACAUUUUUACUUAGUAAUAUUAUGUUUUUUUUUUGUAUAGGAGUCUCAGUCUCAAGGUCAGCCUAUCCAUUGGCUGGAUGUGUACGUGGCCACCUGUGAUGGUCUGCCUGAGGCUAUCCAGAUAGCGGUAAUAAAUUUUAACAACUUGAUCUUGUUUAUCAAUGCUUACAGAA